Molecule: long non-coding RNA, 1375 nt
Organism: Astatotilapia calliptera (eastern happy)
Lineage: Eukaryota; Metazoa; Chordata; Actinopteri; Cichliformes; Cichlidae
Source: Ensembl
UGGUCAAACAUGAUUACAAUGGUUUUAGUAAUCUAAUUUAGUCACUUUAAAUCAAUGCAAGAAAAAUGAGUAGUCUCAGUAUUGUUUAUAAUCAAGUAAAUGGUACUUUAUUUAAUCAUGUAAAUAAGAGAAACAUGAAAAGCUUGUGUAGCAUUAACUAAAUUCAUUUGUGCAAAUUCAAAAGCCUGCCAAUUCCCGUUUUUUCAGUGUAGGCUAUUAGAGUUUUUAACCCUGCAAAGUGAUUGCCAUGCCAAUAUCCAUAAGCCUUAAUGCUAAUUGCUAACUAUGCAGUUUAAUAUAACAUAGCUGUAUAUCGAGAUAGAAAUAAACUGAGAAGUGAGUUUCCAUUUUCACACAUGCAUGAAAAAUGAUUUUAAAGGCUUGGUUAAGUUAGCAGUUGGCAUUAAGUUAGCAACUUAUUUCACAUUUACAGUUAGGUCGUUUAGUGUUUCGGUGACCCGACAAUGUUUUUUAAACCUCCACAGUGGAUUUUAAAUCAAACAACCAAGAUAAGAUUGAGGGGCAGACUUUCAACUUUAAUUCAAAGGAUUUAAAUAUUUCAUUAAUUGUUUAGGAAUUACAGAAAUUUCUUUUUAAACAUAGGAUUUCAUAUGAUUUGAUGUGUGUUGGAUCGUGAGCGGUUCAUUUCUUCUCUGUACUUUUCUCAUCCCAUCAUUGUAGUACAUUUUAAUCUUGGUCCAUCCUCUUCUUGAGAAUCGCAGCAUCUCUAACCCUUACUCUCCCUCUAGCACAAUUUUUCACAACUUUAUGUUGCACAUUUUUCUGAAAGUGUUUUUAUAAUAAUCAGAAAAUAGAAUAACCUUUUAUUGUCAUUGUACAUGUACAACAAAAUUGUGGGUGCGCUACACCAACCGUUCAUGGAAAAAUCAAAAUAAAAAAUAAAAUAAAAUUAAAAAUAAAAACAGCAAGACAGUAAGACUGAAUAACAGACAAGAGGAAGACAGUUACCCUAAUUAGACGUUCUUUCAGCUUUUCCUUUUUACUCCCACUUACUCUUCUGGUCUUGUGUUAUCCCUGUCCCAACUUCUUUUGAGACAAUUUUUCUGCUGGCGUCAAAAUCAAAAUAAGUGACCAUUUCCUUAAAAUGCCAUAGUUUCUUUCUUUCUCUCCUUUUGUUGGGAUUUGGUUUGUACUGUCUGAGAUGCAGUGAGUCUAUAGGCUGCAGUGUGCAUUAAAACCUAGCUUAGUUGACGUGGUACUCAUAAACAGCAUCAAUUAAAAGCUGGAAAGUCAAAGAAUGGUAAGUGAACUAAAUAGUCCUUUCUGGGAGAGACUUGGUGCUUGUAUGUUUCCAGAGAAAAGUCAAAAGCAAUUGGUACAUUAAAAAGACCAGACGCUCAUCUGAAGCAGUAGA